This 341-nucleotide ribosomal RNA is filed under the name uncultured Azoarcus sp. RNAcentral describes it as "bacterial SSU rRNA". It matches the Rfam family "Bacterial small subunit ribosomal RNA", at positions 1039 to 1382 of the family's 1533-position model. The record is from RNAcentral. Lineage: Bacteria; Pseudomonadati; Pseudomonadota; Betaproteobacteria; Rhodocyclales; Zoogloeaceae.
UGCUGCAUGGCUGUCGUCAGCUCGUGUCGUGAGAUGUUGGGUUAAGUCCGCAACGAGCGCAACCCUUGCCAUUAAUUGCCAUCAUUUAGUUGGGCACUUUAAUGGGACUGCCGGUGACAAACCGGAGGAAGGUGGGGAUGACGUCAAGUCCUCAUGGCCCUUAUGGGUAGGGCUUCACACGUCAUACAAUGGUCGGUACAGAGGGUUGCCAAGCCGCGAGGUGGAGCAAAUCCUAAAAAGCCGGCCUCAGUUCGGAUUGCAGGCUGCAAUUCGCCUGCAUGAAGUCGGAAUCGCUAGUAAUCGCAGGUCAGCAUACUGCGGUGAAUACGUUCCCGGGCCUU